CUGGCGGCGUGCUUAACACAUGCAAGUCGCACGAGAACUCUUCUGCUUGCAGAAGAUAGUAAAGUGGCGCACGGGUGAGUAACGCGUGGGUAAUCUACCUUCGAAUCGGGGGUAACUCCGCGAAAGCGGUGCUAAUACCGGAUAAUAUCUUAUAGACCUUGGUCUUUAAGAUCAAAGGUGGCCUCUACAUGUAAGCUACUGUUUGAAGAUGAGCCCGCGUACCAUUAGCUUGUUGGUAGGGUAAAGGCCUACCAAGGCUACGAUGGUUAGCUGGUCUGAGAGGAUGAUCAGCCACACUGGAACUGACACACGGUCCAGACUCCUACGGGAGGCAGCAGUGAGGAAUUUUGCGCAAUGGGGGAAACCCUGACGCAGCAACGCCGCGUGAGUGAUGAAGGCUUUCGGGUCGUAAAACUCUGUCAAGUGGGAAGAACAUGUUUGAUGUUAAUACCAUCUUACACUGACGGUACCACUGAAGGAAGCACCGGCUAACUCCGUGCCAGCAGCCGCGGUAAUACGGGGGGUGCAAGCGUUAUUCGGAAUUAUUGGGCGUAAAGGGCGCGCAGGCGGCCUCUUAAGUCAGAUGUGAAAGCCCGGGGCUUAACCCCGGAAGUGCAUUUGAAACUAAGGGGCUUGAGUAUGGGAGA
RNAcentral lists this ribosomal RNA (647 nucleotides) under uncultured delta proteobacterium DSS57. RNAcentral's name for it is "bacterial SSU rRNA". It matches the Rfam family "Bacterial small subunit ribosomal RNA", at positions 36 to 655 of the family's 1533-position model. Lineage: Bacteria; Deltaproteobacteria. The record is from RNAcentral.